GAUCAUGGCUCAGGAUGAACGCUAGCGGCAGGCCUAACACAUGCAAGUCGAGGGGUAGUUACUUUCGGGUAAUGAGACCGGCGCACGGGUGCGUAACGCGUAUGCAAUCUACCUUUUUACAGGGGAAUAGCCCAGAGAAAUUUGGAUUAAUGCCCCAUAGUAUAUAUGAAUCGCAUGGUUUAUAUAUUAAAGUUCCAACGGUAAAAGAUGAGCAUGCGUCCCAUUAGUUAGUUGGUAAGGUAACGGCUUACCAAGACGAUGAUGGGUAGGGGUCCUGAGAGGGAGAUCCCCCACACUGGUACUGAGACACGGACCAGACUCCUACGGGAGGCAGCAGUGAGGAAUAUUGGACAAUGGGCGCAAGCCUGAUCCAGCCAUGCCGCGUGCAGGAAGAAGCAUCUAUGGUGUGUAAACUGCUUUUGUACAGGAAGAAACACUCCCUCGUGAGGGAGCUUGACGGUACUGUAAGAAUAAGGAUCGGCUAACUCCGUG
RNAcentral lists this ribosomal RNA (492 nucleotides) under uncultured bacterium. RNAcentral's name for it is "bacterial SSU rRNA". It matches the Rfam family "Bacterial small subunit ribosomal RNA", at positions 15 to 507 of the family's 1533-position model. The record is from RNAcentral.